Molecule: ribosomal RNA, 373 nt
Filed under: uncultured soil bacterium
Lineage: Bacteria
Description: bacterial SSU rRNA
Rfam family: Bacterial small subunit ribosomal RNA
Source: RNAcentral
AGAUUGAACGCUGGCGGCAUGCCUAACACAUGCAAGUCGAACGGGAGUAGCAAUACUCUAGUGGCGGACGGGUGAGGAAUACGUAGGAAUUUGCCCUUAAGUGGGGGAUAACCCGGGGAAACCCGGAUUAAUACCGCAUGACCUCGAAGAGCAAAGUGGGGGAUCGCAAGACCUCACGCUUUUGGAGAAGCCUACGUCGGAUUAGCUAGCUGGUGAGGUAAUGGCUCACCAAGGCGACGAUCCGUAACUGGUCUAGAGAGGAUGAUCAGUCACACCGGAACUGAGACACGGUCCGGACUCCCGUACGGGAGCCGAGCGAGGUAGGGGAAUAGUUGGAACUAAGUCGGGGCGACGAAGGCCUAGACUACCGAGC